Molecule: long non-coding RNA, 3818 nt
Organism: Pogoniulus pusillus (Red-fronted tinkerbird)
Lineage: Eukaryota; Metazoa; Chordata; Aves; Piciformes; Lybiidae
Exons: 3
Source: RefSeq, a predicted model, not a curated record
CUCGUCGCUCGCUCUCGCACACACGCACACGCAUGCACACACACAAGCGCGCACACACACACACACACACGCACCCGCCCGCCCGCCUGCCUGCUCGGCUCCGCUUCCAAGCCGCCUCAGCAAGGAGGAGCCCGGACGGAAAACACCAGGGCAGCAAGGAUUUGGAAGUGGAGAUCCGUGAGAGUGAGCCUAGCAAUGAGUGAAGGCUUCCCUUGAAGCAGAGUCUGUUUCUUAUUCCCUAGGAGACUGAGAAGAGAGGGGACCCUGGAUGUCAGCCCAGCCUCUGGGAUUUAUUUGUCUUGAACUUUAAUGCAGAUGGCCUUUUUCAGCCCUGGAAGUUGACAGUGUCCACCCCCAGAUGUUUGCUUGCUCAACCUUCUACAGGAACUACAGAAAGUCCUGCUCAUCCUGCUUCUCCAUGAUGGCUGGAAUUGUACAGUCAAAACCCUUUACAGAAUAAGUGUUCACAUACAUUUUUAUGUAUUUAUGCUGGCAGCUCCAUUCUGAGCUUUUUCCAGAGUCCUGCUUUGAGGGAAGUGGGUGCAGAUCUCAUUCAGAUAAUCAUUCUCCAGUAGCAUUGGCAUUACCUGCCAAAACUGAAAGUGGCAUGUGAAUCACAAGAAGCCACUCAUGGAUUUGUGAAUUUAGAGCCUGCCAAGGAAUGCCACUAUCCCAUGAGUUUUAGGGACUUGGAAUAAGUGUGAAAGUGCUCUUACUCAAAUGCCAUGUUGUUGGUGACCCCUUCUAAAAGGUCCAUAGACACAACCAAUUCAAAUGAAGGACAAACUGAAAAUAUUUCUGUUCAAAACUAUAUUUCAAGUGAGGUAAUGAAAAUGGUGAAUCUACUAAUUGGAACUAUGUCAUAGGCCCUUCCUGAGGUUCCCCUUAUUGGCAGUGCUGCUGUGACAUAAUGGUGUGGAAAUAGCUUUUGUGUGAGAAGAGCUAUCAGAUCCUCUGGGAAAUAAUCACAGAUGCUUUCCAGUUCCUUUCAGACAUGUAAAUUUAUUUAUGUUUGGACAUGAGUAAAAUGGGGUGGGAAGUGGAGCGAGGAGUAGAGUGGGGUUAAAAGCAUCCACAUAGUUCCAGGAGCCAAAUAAAUGUAGAUUUUGUGGGUUUGGAUUUGUUUGAGUUUUUUUUUUUUGUUGUUGUUGGCUUGUUUUUGUAUCCUUUUUUCUGUAUCUGAUGUUAAGUAGGACUUGGAAUGUUCAUUAUGAAGAAGAAACUCUGUGUGGAUGUGGACCCAUGGUUGAUAAAGAAGGCCAUCUUCUGCCUGAAACUACAGAUAAUCAACAGAACUCAUUGUAAUGCUUAGGUACUUCCAUUGUUCACAAGUGAUACCUACCUUAUCAUGUGAGGUUUAUUUCCAGCUUGGAGUUUGUGGUUAAUGCUAUAGACAGGAAAAAUGCUACAUGCCUCCUAAUACUUCUUCUGAUCACUUCUUCUCUUCAUGUCUUGCUUUAAGCACACCAGAAACUGAAAAUAAUGUUUGAGUUGUUUGGGUUUCUUUCUAUUUCAACAUAAAAAACCCAGGAGCCUGAGUUUUGUAAUCUAUUUGUAUGUUAAUGUUUAUGAAACAUACCAAAGAAACAUGCUUACUAGCCUGGUCUACACAUACUUGUCUCAGCAGCUUGAUGAUAUUAAAGACUUGUUUUGAGUUAACUAUGUGCCAGACAGUAUUAGCAUUAUCUAUUGUAGAUGAAAAUGGCAGUCAGCAAAUACAGCCAUGGUAGAGUGGGCUUCUGUGCAUCUUUUAAAUACAAGUGGCCAGUAUCAGUAGUACCAUAACCUUGUCUGAUGUUUCACCUCACCUGUGGAUCAGUAGAAGACUGCCGAAUGUGGCUGCUGCUUUCAGUAUAUUUCUGAAGUCUUUUGAUUGUUCUGUUCUUUGUUAGUUGGGUAUCAACCUCCCGACCUUAGACCUGUGUCUCCUCACUGCUUGAAUGUCUGUCAUGAGCAUCUGUUCCCUGAAAAGGCCGUCACAUCAUCUGUCCAUCUCCAGACGGGCUUAAGCUUCCUUCAGUCAUUCAUUGAAUGUUCCUAUUACAGGCACUGAUGCUGCACAGUACCUCAGUCCACUCAGUUUUUAUCCAAGAUGGUAACUACUUUUUGCCCCACAUCUCUGCAAAAGGACAUCCUUGGGUUCCCUAAGAAAUUAAACCACAUCCUGUAGAUUUUCUCUUAAAGCUUAAGCUCUACAGAAGAGAAGAUCAACUUGUUACAGGUGCAUCAAUGACAUCAUGACAGCCAUGGUGGAGUGGGCUUCUGUGCAUCUUUUAAAUACAAGUGGCCAGUAUCAGUAGUACCAUAACCUUGUCUGAUGUUUCACCUCACCUGUGGAUCAGUAGAAGACUGCCGAAUGUGGCUGCUGUUUUCAGUAGGUUUCUGAAUGUCUUAAUUGUUCUGUUCUUUGUUAGUUGGGUAUCAAUCUUCCACCUUAGACCUGUGUCACCUCACUGCUUGAAUGUUGCUCUUGAGCAUCUGUUCCCUGAAAAGGCCAUCACAUCAUCUGUCCAUCUCCAGACUGGCUUAAGCUUCAGCCAUUCAUUGAAUGUUUCUGUUACAGGCACUGAUGCUGCACAGUACCUCUGUCCACUCAGCUUUUAUCCAAGAUGGUAACUACUUUUUGCUCCACAUUUUUGCAGAGGCAAAAGGGACAUCUUUGGGUUACCUGAAAAAUUAAAUCACAUCCUGUAGAUUUUCUCUUAAGCUUUACAGAAGAGAAGAUCAACUUGUUACAGGUGCAUCAAUGACAUCAGACUCAUUCCUGUUUUGCCUGAAUGCUCUUUCAGUCUUCCAUCAGUCUAAAAUUACUACUUUUUCAAGGAUUGGAGGUGCAUUAAUAUUUGUAUGAAACACUUUUCCUGUACAUUGUCUGUUCUUCUCUCCUUCCCCUUGGUGUCUAGUUUGUCUUGACUGCUUUUCUUUUUGCCUAUAGUGAGGGACUGCCAGUUCAAACCAGUGAAGGGAAACCAGGUGACUGUCUACUACUACAAAUACAGGUUGUAUGUAAUAAAUUCAGGUUUUACAUCUAUGCAGAUGAAAACAUCAUAUGAUUCUGACUACAUGCAUUCUUUUUUAUUAAAUAUGGCAUCUAUUUCACAAAUUAUAUUUAACUUAAGAGUUGUGUUUCUAUUCUGAAUACCUAACUAGGAGUUACAAGGCAUGCCACUAGAGUUUACUAAAUAGUCUCAUGAAAACAGAAGAAAUAAGAGCAAAUCAUCAUUUUGGUGUUUUUUUUUUCUUGUAUUCUCAGUAUAUCCAUUAGAAAGUUUUUUCCUGCUAGAGGUGGUAAUGUGAAUGUCUCACCAUUGAACACUAUUUAGAGACAGGGUUAUUAGAAAUGCAGAGAUUUGGAAAUGUCCAGAAUCAGGAAAUUUUAAAGCAACACUUAAUUGGAGUUAGCAACACUUAAUUGGAGUUAACAACACUUAAUUGGAGUCUGGAAUUAGCACUUCCAGUUAGUAAGACCUUCUGCUCAUUUUUUUUGUCAUGGUGUGCAAGGCAAUAGUCAGAUGUCAAAGUAAACAUUUUAUUUGCACAGAAUUGUGUUUUCACCUCAGGAAUAUUGUGAAGUGAGAACAAGAUUUAACACAAUUCUUCUUUUGGGACAGGCCAGUUUUAAUGUAAAGCUGUAAACUUUGCAAUAUGAUUCCCAACCAUAGGUGCACUGUACUUUGAAUCAUCAAUCUGUCAGCUGGGCUGUGACGAGGAUUUUGUUGUGAGGGUAAAACUCAGAACUUUCAGUGUUAACUGUUCUCAGCAACUGCUGCUGGGUUGGUGGUUUUCUGUGAAUAAAAAGAUACACUGGUGAGCACAAA